AUGGCCGCAGUAAUUUGACUGUGCAAAGGUAGCAUAAUCAAUAGUUUUUUAAUUAAAAGCUUGUAUGAAUGGUUGGACGAAAUAAAAUCUGUCUUUAUUUAAUUUAAAUUAGAAUUUAAUUUUUAAGUUAAAAAGCUUAAAUUUUAUUAAAAGACGAGAAGACCCUAUAGAUCUUUAUUUUAAUAAUUAUUUAUUUAAUUAAGAUUUAUUUAUUUUAAAUUUAUGUUAAAAUUUUAUUGGGGUAAUAAAAAGAUUAAUUUAAUUCUUUUUAAUAUUAUUUAUUUAUGUAUAUAAUUUAUGAUCCAUUAAUAUUGAUUAUAAGAUUAAGUUACCUUAGGGAUAACAGCGUAAUUUUUUUAGAGAGUUCAUAUUGAUAAAAAAGUUUGCGACCUCGAUGUUGGAUUAAAGAUUAAUUUAGGUGUAGAAGUUUAAAUUUUUGGUCUGUUCGACCAUUAAAUCUUUACAUGAUCUGAGUUUAGACCGGCGUAAGCCAGGUCGGUUUCUAUCUUUAUUAAAUUAUAAUAUUUUAGUACGAAAGGACC
RNAcentral lists this ribosomal RNA (542 nucleotides) under Geocharis sp. 1 CA-2016. Its description in RNAcentral is "partial large subunit ribosomal RNA". It matches the Rfam family "Bacterial large subunit ribosomal RNA", at positions 1927 to 2693 of the family's 2925-position model. Lineage: Eukaryota; Metazoa; Arthropoda; Insecta; Coleoptera; Carabidae. The record is from RNAcentral.